UACGGGGGGGGCAAGCGUUGUUCGGAAUUACUGGGCGUAAAGGGCUCGUAGGUGGCCAACUAAGUCAGACGUGAAAUCCCUCGGCUUAACCGGGGAACUGCGUCUGAUACUGGAUGGCUGGAGUGUGGGAGAGGGAUGCGGAAUUCCAGGUGUAGCGGUGAAAUGCGCAGAUAUCAGGAAGAACACCAAUGGCGAAAGCAGCUUUCUGGGACGGUACUGACGCUGAGACGCGAAAGCGUGGGGAGCGAACAGG
This 253-nucleotide ribosomal RNA is filed under the name uncultured bacterium. RNAcentral describes it as "partial 16S ribosomal RNA". It matches the Rfam family "Bacterial small subunit ribosomal RNA", at positions 524 to 776 of the family's 1533-position model. The record is from RNAcentral.